UCCCUAGUAGCUCAGACUGUAAAGCGUCUGUCUGCAAUGCAGGAGAUCCAGGUUCAAUCCCUGGGUUGAGAA
Molecule: non-coding RNA, 72 nt
Organism: Bos taurus (domestic cattle)
Lineage: Eukaryota; Metazoa; Chordata; Mammalia; Artiodactyla; Bovidae
Source: Rfam